AGAGUUUGAUCAUGGCUCAGAUUGAACGCUGGCGGCAUGCCUUACACAUGCAAGUCGAACGGUAACAGGUCUUCGGAUGCUGACGAGUGGCGAACGGGUGAGUAAUACAUCGGAACGUGCCCGAUCGUGGGGGAUAACGGAGCGAAAGCUUUGCUAAUACCGCAUACGAUCUACGGAUGAAAGCAGGGGACCGCAAGGCCUUGCGCGGACGGAGCGGCCGAUGGCAGAUUAGGUAGUUGGUGGGAUAAAAGCUACCAAGCCGACGAUCUGUAGCUGGUCUGAGAGGACGACCAGCCACACUGGGACUGAGACACGGCCCAGACUCCUACGGGAGGCAGCAGUGGGGAAUUUUGGACAAUGGGCGAAAGCCUGAUCCAGCCAUGCCGCGUGCAGGAUGAAGGCCUUCGGGUUGUAAACUGCUUUUGUACGGAACGAAAAGACUCCUUCUAAUAAAGGGGGUCCAUGACGGUACCGUAAGAAUAAGCACCGGCUAACUACGUGCCAGCAGCCGCGGUAAUACGUAGGGUGCAAGCGUUAAUCGGAAUUACUGGGCGUAAAGCGUGCGCAGGCGGUUAUAUAAGACAGAUGUGAAAUCCCCGGGCUCAACCUGGGAACUGCAUUUGUGACUGUAUAGCUAGAGUACGGUAGAGGGGGAUGGAAUUCCGCGUGUAGCAGUGAAAUGCGUAGAUAUGCGGAGGAACACCGAUGGCGAAGGCAAUCCCCUGGACCUGUACUGACGCUCAUGCACGAAAGCGUGGGGAGCAAACAGGAUUAGAUACCCCGGUAGUCCAA
This 792-nucleotide ribosomal RNA is filed under the name uncultured bacterium. Its description in RNAcentral is "bacterial SSU rRNA". It matches the Rfam family "Bacterial small subunit ribosomal RNA", at positions 8 to 798 of the family's 1533-position model. The record is from RNAcentral.